GAGAGUGAGAAAGAAAGAGUGCUGGGGCGUGCAGAUCACGUUUCACAUCACAUCAGAGCUGUGGAAUUUCCUCUCUUCUAGGGGGAGGCCUGUGAAGAUGAAGUUGGUUUAAGUUAAGCCACGUGCUCCACACCACACGAUUGUCGCUGACCCCUCUCUCUGAGGCCCUUACCUCCCAAGAGAUGUGUUUAUUUUUUAAAUUCUACCCAGAAAGCUGUUUAGGAUUUUGCAGUCUAUCAGGGUCAUCAUUUUCAGACAUCUAUUAAUGCUGUAUUGUAGCCACGGGAGAGGUUCAGUUAAUAAAGGGCUCUGGUUGAUAGAUGGCUAGAGCAGUCUUUUGCACUAUCUUCUUCGAAUUGCUACUGAGCUAUAACAAUACGCUGAGUCCAUUUUUUGAUCGUUUUACAAACCAUAUACUCACAUUCUCCCUCUCCUUUCUCUCUUUUCCAAACACCCUCCCCCCAACAGUUUUGCAAAAAAUAAAUAGAAUCUUUCCUCCUCUUCACGUUAUCUACUCUCUGCUACCUUUCCAACGUGAGCUAUAGCCUUGAACUUGGUCAGACUCAACUGAGCUUCCUUAGUCUGUGCUGUUCCUUCUUCGUGUACGCCUACAGUCGUUUUCUAAGUUUGACUCUUUUUCCUAGGUCUAUUAAAUUUGGGAUAGGUAUGAUUAUUUAAACUGGUCCUUCUGGAUUUCUUAGUGGUUUCCCAAGAAAAAGCAAGGAUAGUCAUUCAAGUGAUAUUUCCUGUAUGCCCAAGGAAAAUAAGCCAACAGCAUGUUUUUCUAUUCUUAGUUGAAAUGAAAAUUAAUUUUUGAAAGUCCUAUAGUCAGCUUAGUUCAUCAUAACCUGCUGAUGACCUUAGUGGUGGAGGAUCUAAGGACGCGAAUGUUAAAAUUAGAACUGACUUUGAGUACUGGCCUUAUUUACCAGCUGGGCACCUUAUUUUUAUUUAACUAACACUUAUACAACAUUUACUAUGUGCCAAACGCUGUUCUAAGCGUUUUACAAAUAUUUGCUUGGCUAAUCCUCAGAGCAGUGUUGUUAUUGUAUAAGACUAUUGUGAAGUUGUGUUAUUAUUAUUCGCACUUUACAGAUGAAGAAUCUGAGACAUGGAGAUGUGAAGUAAUUUGCCAACCUAUGAACAUGAAUUCAAGCAUGCCUCCCUAGCAAGUCCUGCAUUAAGUGGCAGAUGUAGCUCUGUGUCCACGUGCACCACCUUGCAACCUUGGACAAGUCACUGAGCAGUGUGGAGACACGUGUAGGGUGUGAAACUGUGGGCAGCAGGGAAGACAGGGCAUUUGCACACACGUGACAAACCAAAGAGCAAAGCCAGAGGGAAAGGAAAUUUCGAGGGCUGUUCCUCCCACCCUCAUCCCCGUGUAGACCAGCGUAGCAGGUCUCCAGUACCUUCUUAUAAUUCAAUUCACAGCCUCAGUCCUGUACCAUUUCCGUUUCCUUGAACUGCAUCUAGACAUGAUUCUGGUCCCCAUCAGCUUCUGACCUCAUUACUCAUUCUGUUUACAGCUUGGCCUCACCCUUCAGACUGCCCUGAUUUCCCAGAUAGGAAUUUGCUGCCCUCAUUGACUAUGAUUCAGAUUUUCACCCCAGCCGCAUUGCACCAGGCCCUCCUGUGUACACAGCCCUCUGGUCAGACUGGCACCCUGAAACCCCCUCCCCCAUCCUUCCCUGAAACUCCUGUGGUGGGUAAGCCAGGGCUCUAGGAGUAUAUCCCACUC
This 1738-nucleotide long non-coding RNA is filed under the name Equus caballus (horse). Its description in RNAcentral is "lncRNA (ENSECAG00000044694.1)". Lineage: Eukaryota; Metazoa; Chordata; Mammalia; Perissodactyla; Equidae. The record is from RNAcentral.